RNAcentral lists this ribosomal RNA (387 nucleotides) under Chlorella sp. NUA-2014-3. RNAcentral describes it as "bacterial SSU rRNA". It matches the Rfam family "Bacterial small subunit ribosomal RNA", at positions 354 to 755 of the family's 1533-position model. Lineage: Eukaryota; Viridiplantae; Chlorophyta; Trebouxiophyceae; Chlorellales; Chlorellaceae. The record is from RNAcentral.
GGGGGAAUUUUUCCGCAAUGGGCGAAAGCCUGACGGAGCAAUGCCGCGUGAAGGAUGAAGGCCUAUGGGUUGUAAACUUCUUUUCUCAGAGAAGAAAUUUUGACGGUAUCUGAGGAAUAAGCAUCGGCUAACUCUGUGCCAGCAGCCGCGGUAAGACAGAGGAUGCAAGCGUUAUCCGGAAUGAUUGGGCGUAAAGCGUCUGUAGGUGGCUUAAAAAGUCUCCUGUCAAAGAUCAGGGCUUAACCCUGGGCCGGCAGGAGAAACUCUUAGGCUAGAGUUGGUAGGGGCAGAGGGAAUUCCCGGUGGAGCGGUGAAAUGCGUAGAGAUCGGGAGGAACACCAAAGGCGAAAGCACUCUGCUGGGCCAUUACUGACACUGAGGAGGACG